AUUGAACGCUGGCGGCAGGCCUAACACAUGCAAGUCGAGCGGAUGAAGGGAGCUUGCUCCUGGAUUCAGCGGCGGACGGGUGAGUAAUGCCUAGGAAUCUGCCUGGUAGUGGGGGAUAACGUCCGGAAACGGGCGCUAAUACCGCAUACGUCCUGAGGGAGAAAGUGGGGGAUCUUCGGACCUCACGCUAUCAGAUGAGCCUAGGUCGGAUUAGCUAGUUGGUGGGGUAAAGGCCUACCAAGGCGACGAUCCGUAACUGGUCUGAGAGGAUGAUCAGUCACACUGGAACUGAGACACGGUCCAGACUCCUACGGGAGGCAGCAGUGGGGAAUAUUGGACAAUGGGCGAAAGCCUGAUCCAGCCAUGCCGCGUGUGAGAAGAAGGUCUUCGGAUUGUAAAGCACUUUAAGUUGGGAGGAAGGGCAGUAAGUUAAUACCUUGCUGUUUUGACGUUACCAACAGAAUAAGCACCGGCUAACUUCGUG
This 484-nucleotide ribosomal RNA is filed under the name uncultured bacterium. Its description in RNAcentral is "partial 16S ribosomal RNA". It matches the Rfam family "Bacterial small subunit ribosomal RNA", at positions 30 to 507 of the family's 1533-position model. The record is from RNAcentral.